Molecule: long non-coding RNA, 907 nt
Organism: Eptesicus fuscus (big brown bat)
Lineage: Eukaryota; Metazoa; Chordata; Mammalia; Chiroptera; Vespertilionidae
Exons: 5
Source: RefSeq, a predicted model, not a curated record
AAGAUGUAGAUCAGAAAGGUUAUGUAACUUGUUAAAGGUCACACAGCUAAGAAGAACUACUAUCUGGACCUCAAUCUAAAUCCUUUCAAUGUCAAAGCUGUUCCACCACACCACACCAAGGCUCUGCUUAACAAAGCCUGACAUCUAACAUCAUCUCACAUUAAUCACCACAUACAGUCUAGGAGCUCAACAGCAAUGAAGUCAUUGCCAUCCCCACUAUUGAAGAGAAUGAAGCCAUCGGCUGAGGUGGUCUUGAACUGGAAGAAGAGGUGCAUGGAAGUGUAGGCCUGCAGGGUGGCCAGGCUCAGCUACCUUCUCCACUUUACUUUUAAACCAUCUGGGCUGGAUGAAGCUGACCCCAUUCUGAAGUAAUCAAGCUACUUGGACUGAACCACUCAAUGUAUUUUAUCCCCCCAGCCUUAGAGUAAAACAUAAGGACUAAGAACUCUAGCAUUCAUCUCAAUCACCUGGAAGGGUUGCUAAAACACAGUUCAUUGGGCCCUACCCUCCGAGUUUAUUAUUCAAGAGUCUGAGAUAUCCUAUAGCAGAGGGCCUGAGGGCAGCAAGUAUCCCUGGCACCUGGGAAGGAGGCUGUAUUAGAGACAUCUACUGUGGAGUCAGAGUCUGGAUUAUCACCAUUUCUACAUAUGAGAGACCUGGCCAACACCAACAGCUUGGCAAAAAAAAUCACAGAAAUGGCUUAGCAGAGGCAACUUGACCUCCCAGUGGCUCCCAGACACAGAGAGAAAAGUGAAGAAAAGAGAGGCUUCCAAAGGCUCAGAAAAGGAUACACAAUGUACCCACAAUCCUCCAGCUCCACUGCUCCCAUACCCUCUUCUCCACAGUACAUUGUGGAGAAACAUUUCCCACAUACAUAUGCUGUAAAAUGCUUUAAUAAAAAAAAAGU